GACGAACGCUGGCGGCGUGCUUAACACAUGCAAGUCGAACGGUGAAGCGCCUUCCUUUUUGGUGGGUGUGGACGAGUGGCGAACGGGUGAGUAACACGUGAGUAACCUGCACCCUUCUUCUGGAUAACCGCAUGCAAGUGUGGCUAAUACGGGAUAUUCUGGGUCUGUCGCAUGAUGGGUAUGGGCAAGAUUGUGUUUCGGUGGGGGAUGGUCUCGCGGCCUAUCAGCUAGUUGGUGGGGUGAUGGCGUCCCAAGGCGGCGAUGGGAAGCCGGCCGGAGAGGGGGGUCGGCCACCAUGGUAGUGCGGCGCGGCCGAGAAGACUACGGGAGGCAGCAGCAGGGAAGAUUAUUGAACGGUGGGAGGACGGAUGAUGCAACGCCGCGGCGUGGAUGAUGGUGGUCUUCGGGUUGUGCACCGCUUUCGCGGAAGAAGCAAUGUGGCCUCGUUUGUGGGUGGGUUGACGGUAGCUGGACAAGAAGCCCCGGCUAACUACGUG
RNAcentral lists this ribosomal RNA (497 nucleotides) under uncultured bacterium. Its description in RNAcentral is "partial 16S ribosomal RNA". It matches the Rfam family "Bacterial small subunit ribosomal RNA", at positions 28 to 507 of the family's 1533-position model. The record is from RNAcentral.